This 21-nucleotide small nuclear RNA is filed under the name Arabidopsis thaliana (thale cress). RNAcentral describes it as "snRNA_12680". The record is from RNAcentral. Lineage: Eukaryota; Viridiplantae; Streptophyta; Magnoliopsida; Brassicales; Brassicaceae.
CCAACCCUCAGGACCAAGUCU